This 447-nucleotide ribosomal RNA is filed under the name uncultured bacterium. Its description in RNAcentral is "bacterial SSU rRNA". It matches the Rfam family "Bacterial small subunit ribosomal RNA", at positions 355 to 825 of the family's 1533-position model. The record is from RNAcentral.
UCGGGAAUUUUGGGCAAUGGGCGAAAGCCUGACCCAGCAACGCCGCGUGAAGGAUGAAGUAUUUCGGUAUGUAAACUUCGAAAGAAUAGGAAGAAUAAAUGACGGUACUAUUUAUAAGGUCCGGCUAACUACGUGCCAGCAGCCGCGGUAAUACGUAGGGACCAAGCGUUGUUCGGAUUUACUGGGCGUAAAGGGCGCGUAGGCGGCAAUUCAAGUCAUCUGUGAAAUCCCCGGGCUUAACUCGGAACGGUCAGAUGAUACUGCUUUGCUAGAGUGCAGAAGGGGCAAUCGGAAUUCUUGGUGUAGCGGUGAAAUGCGUAGAUAUCAAGAGGAACACCUGAGGUGAAGACGGGUUGCUGGGCUGAUACUGACGCUGAGGCACGAAAGCGUGGGGAGCAAACAGGAUUAGAUACCCGAGUAGUCCCUGAGCGGGCUGGCAAGGCGCAU